CGAAAGCCUGACGGAGCAACGCCGCGUGAGGGACGAAGGCCUCUGGGCUGUAAACCUCUUUUCUCAAGGAAGAAGACCUGACGGUACUUGAGGAAUAAGCAUCGGCUAACUCCGUGCCAGCAGCCGCGGUAAUACGGAGGAUGCAAGCGUUAUCCGGAAUUAUUGGGCGUAAAGCGUCCGCAGGUGGCUGUUCAAGUCUGCUGUUAAAGCGUGGAGCUUAACUCCAUAAUGGCAGUGGAAACUGAUUGGCUGGAGUGUGGUAGGGGCAGAGGGAAUUCCCGGUGUAGCGGUGAAAUGCGUAGAUAUCGGGAAGAACACCAGUGGCGAAGGCGCUCUGCUGGGCCAUAACUGACGCUCAUGGACGAAAGCUAGGGUAGCG
This 379-nucleotide ribosomal RNA is filed under the name uncultured cyanobacterium. Its description in RNAcentral is "bacterial SSU rRNA". It matches the Rfam family "Bacterial small subunit ribosomal RNA", at positions 376 to 770 of the family's 1533-position model. Lineage: Bacteria; Bacillati; Cyanobacteriota. The record is from RNAcentral.